RNAcentral lists this ribosomal RNA (451 nucleotides) under uncultured bacterium. RNAcentral describes it as "bacterial SSU rRNA". It matches the Rfam family "Bacterial small subunit ribosomal RNA", at positions 335 to 801 of the family's 1533-position model. The record is from RNAcentral.
AGACCUACGGGGGGCUGCAGUGGGGAAUAUUGCACAAUGGGCGCAAGCCUGAUGCAGCAACGCCGCGUGAGGGACGACGGCCUUCGGGUUGUAAACCUCUUUUAGCAGGGAAGAAGCGAAAGUGACGGUACCUGCAGAAAAAGCACCGGCUAACUACGUGCCAGCAGCCGCGGUAAUACGUAGGGUGCAAGCGUUGUCCGGAAUUAUUGGGCGUAAAGAGCUCGUAGGCGGUUUGUCGCGUCUGCUGUGAAAUCCCGAGGCUCAACCGCGGGCCUGCAGUGGGUACGGGCAGACUAGAGUGCGGUAGGGGAGAUUGGAAUUCCUGGUGUAGCGGUGGAAUGCGCAGAUAUCAGGAGGAACACCGAUGGCGAAGGCAGAUCUCUGGGCCGUAACUGACGCUGAGGAGCGAAAGCGUGGGGAGCGAACAGGAUUAGAUACCCCUGUAGUCGCU